CACGUAGGGGCCAAGCGUUGUCCGGAUUUAUUGGGCGUAAAGAGCUCGUAGGCGGCUUGGCAAGUCGGGUGUGAAAACCCCAGGCUCAACCUGGGGACGCCACUCGAUACUGCCAUGGCUUGAGUCCGGUAGGGGAGCGGGGAAUUCCUGGUGUAGCGGUGAAAUGCGCAGAUAUCAGGAGGAACACCGGUGGCGAAGGCGCCGCUCUGGGCCGGUACUGACGCUGAGGAGCGAAAGCGUGGGGAGCAAACAGG
Molecule: ribosomal RNA, 254 nt
Filed under: Acidimicrobiales bacterium
Lineage: Bacteria; Bacillati; Actinomycetota; Acidimicrobiia; Acidimicrobiales
Also listed under: 1 other name
Description: partial 16S ribosomal RNA
Rfam family: Bacterial small subunit ribosomal RNA
Source: RNAcentral